Molecule: ribosomal RNA, 500 nt
Filed under: uncultured archaeon
Lineage: Archaea
Description: bacterial SSU rRNA
Rfam family: Archaeal small subunit ribosomal RNA
Source: RNAcentral
CCCUACGGGGCGCAGCAGGCGCGGAAACUCCGCAAUACGCGAAAGCGUGACGGGGUCAUCCCGAGUGCUGUCUGCUGAGGGCAGCUUUUGCCGAGUGUAAUGAGCUGGGUGAAUAAGGGGAGGGCAAGCCUGGUGUCAGCCGCCGCGGUAAUACCAGCUCCCCGAGUGGUUGGGACGAUUAUUGGGUCUAAAGCGUUCGUAGCCUGCUUGAGAAGUUCUCCGUUAAAUUCAGCGAUUCAAUCGUUGAGCUGCGGGGGAUACUCUCUAGCUUGGGGGCGGGGGAAGUCGACGGUAGUCUUGGGGUAGGAGCGAAAUCCUAUAAUCCCAAGAGGACCACCAGUGGCGAAGGCGGUCGACGAAAACGCGCCCGACGGUGAGGGACGAAAGCUGGGGGAGCGAACGGGAUUAGAUACCCCGGUAGUCCCAGCUGUAAACAAUGCAGGCUAGGUGUUGAGACGGCUAUGAGCCGUUUCAGUGCCGCAGGGAAGCCGUUAAGCCUG